UACACUCCUGCGGGAGGCAGCAGUGGGGAAUUUUGGACAAUGGGCGAAAGCCUGAUCCAGCCAUGCCGCGUGCAGGAUGAAGGCCUUCGGGUUGUAAACUGCUUUUGUACGGAACGAAACGGCCUUUUCUAAUAAAGAGGGCUAAUGACGGUACCGUAAGAAUAAGCACCGGCUAACUACGUGCCAGCAGCCGCGAUAAUACGUAGGGUGCAAGCGUUAAUCGGAAUUACUGGGCGUAAAGCGUGCGCAGGCGGUUAUGUAAGACAGUUGUGAAAUCCCCGGGCUCAACCUGGGAACUGCAUCUGUGACUGCAUAGCUAGAGUACGGUAGAGGGGGAUGGAAUUCCGCGUGUAGCAGUGAAAUGCGUAGAUAUGCGGAGGAACACCGAUGGCGAAGGCAAUCCCCUGGACCUGUACUGACGCUCAUGCACGAAAGCGUGGGGAGCAAACAGGAUUAGAUACCCGUGUAGUCCCAUG
Molecule: ribosomal RNA, 476 nt
Filed under: uncultured organism
Description: partial 16S ribosomal RNA
Rfam family: Bacterial small subunit ribosomal RNA
Source: RNAcentral